Molecule: ribosomal RNA, 253 nt
Filed under: uncultured bacterium
Lineage: Bacteria
Description: partial 16S ribosomal RNA
Rfam family: Bacterial small subunit ribosomal RNA
Source: RNAcentral
UACGUAGGGUCCAAGCGUUAAUCGGAAUUACUGGGCGUAAAGCGUGCGCAGGCGGUUGUGUAAGCCAGAUGUGAAAUCCCCGGGCUUAACCUGGGAAUGGCAUUUGGGACUGCACGGCUAGAGUACGGCAGAGGAGACUAGAAUUCCUGGUGUAGCAGUGAAAUGCGUAGAUAUCAGGAGGAAUACCGGUGGCGAAGGCGGCAUCCUGGACCGGCAUUGACGCUGAUGAGCGAAAGCUAGGGGAGCAAACGGG